This 70-nucleotide transfer RNA is filed under the name Cricetulus griseus (Chinese hamster). It matches the Rfam family "tRNA". Rfam says of the family: Transfer RNA (tRNA) molecules are approximately 80 nucleotides in length. Lineage: Eukaryota; Metazoa; Chordata; Mammalia; Rodentia; Cricetidae. The record is from Rfam by way of RNAcentral.
GGAGAGGUGGCUCAGGGUAAAGAGCACUGGCUGCUCUUCCAGAGAUCCUGAGUUCAAUUCCCAGCCCCCG